AGGAUUCCCCUAGUAACGGCGAGUGAACAGGGAAGAGCUCAAAUUUGAAAUCUGGCGUGCUCAGCGCGUCCGAGUUGUAAUCUAUAGAGAUGUUUUCCGUGCCGGACCGUGUCCAAGUUCCUUGGAACAGGAUAUCAAAGAGGGUGACAAUCCCGUACUUGACACGACCCCCGGUGCUCUGUGAUACGUCCUCUACGAGUCGAGUUGUUUGGGAAUGCAGCUCAAAAUGGGUGGUGAGUUCCAUCUAAAGCUAAAUAUUGGCGAGAGACCGAUAGCGAACAAGUACCGUGAGGGAAAGAUGAAAAGCACUUUGGAAAGAGAGUUAAACAGUACGUGAAAUUGUUAAAAGGGAAACGAUUGAAGUCAGUCGUGUCCGGGAGGCUCAGCCGAUCUUCGGUGUAUUCCUCUCGGACGGGUCAACAUCAGUUUUGUCCGGCGGAUAAGGGUGGCGGGAAGGUAGCACCUUCUUGGUGUGUUAUAGCCCGCUAUCGCAUACGCUGGGUGAGACUGAGGAAUGCAGCUCGCCUUCAUUGGCCGGGGUUCGCCCACGUUCGAGCUUAGGAUGUUGACGUAAUGGCUUUAAA
Molecule: ribosomal RNA, 584 nt
Filed under: Cryptococcus sp. CBS 10164
Lineage: Eukaryota; Fungi; Basidiomycota; Tremellomycetes; Tremellales; Cryptococcaceae
Description: eukaryotic LSU rRNA
Rfam family: Eukaryotic large subunit ribosomal RNA
Source: RNAcentral